CCUACGGGAGGCAGCAGUGGGGGAUAUUGCACAAUGGGGGAAACCCUGAUGCAGCGACGCCGCGUGGGUGAAGAAGCGCCUCGGCGCGUAAAGCCCUGUCAGCAGGGAAGAAAAUGACGGUACCUGAAGAAGAAGCCCCGGCUAACGACGUGCCAGCAGCCGCGGUAAUACGAAGGGGGCAAGCGUAAUCCGGAGUUACUGGGUGUAAAGGGGGCGCAGACGGCGAUGCAAGCCAGGAGUGAAAGCCCGGGGCCCCCCCCCGGGACUGCUCUUGGAAAGGCGUGGCUAGAGUGCAGGAGGGGCAGGCGGAAUUCCUGUUGUAGCGGUGACAUGCGUAGAUAUCAGGAG
Molecule: ribosomal RNA, 348 nt
Filed under: uncultured bacterium
Lineage: Bacteria
Description: partial 16S ribosomal RNA
Rfam family: Bacterial small subunit ribosomal RNA
Source: RNAcentral